UCCCUGGUGGCUCAGCAGUAAAGAAUCUGCCUGCAAUGCAGGAGACGCAGGUUUGAUCCCUGGCUCGGGAA
Molecule: transfer RNA, 71 nt
Filed under: Ovis aries (sheep)
Lineage: Eukaryota; Metazoa; Chordata; Mammalia; Artiodactyla; Bovidae
Rfam family: tRNA
About the family: Transfer RNA (tRNA) molecules are approximately 80 nucleotides in length. Their secondary structure includes four short double-helical elements and three loops (D, anti-codon, and T loops).
Source: Rfam by way of RNAcentral